Molecule: long non-coding RNA, 333 nt
Organism: Sitophilus oryzae (rice weevil)
Lineage: Eukaryota; Metazoa; Arthropoda; Insecta; Coleoptera; Curculionidae
Exons: 3
Source: RefSeq, a predicted model, not a curated record
GGUGAAGCCGCCACGGCUGGUUAUUGAUUGUCAAAAUCUCCAGUUACGAUUAUAAGAUCAAAACGUCAAUUCAUGGUCAGUUCCAUGUCAGUUCCAACAAAGGCUCCAAUAUAUAGCUCCAAGUCUGAAUGAAAGAUGCCAAAAAUCAAAUACCCAUCGACUUAUAAUGAUAAAAACAAAAAGGAGAAGGUGUCCGAAGACAAACCAAACAGGGAAGAUCUUUCCAGAGCUCUAAACUAUCUCUUGGGCGUCUCAGUUCCAUUCUUCGUGACCAUGUUAGGUAUAGUUUUGUAUUUUAGUAUAAUAGGAGAUGAAUGUUGAUAUUAAUAAAGA